RNAcentral lists this long non-coding RNA (426 nucleotides) under Mytilus galloprovincialis (Mediterranean mussel). The record is from RNAcentral. Lineage: Eukaryota; Metazoa; Mollusca; Bivalvia; Mytilida; Mytilidae.
UCGUGCAGGUGCUUUAUAACUAACAGGUAAGAUGUUGUUGCAGUACAAAAUAUUCAUUUUAAUACAAUUAAUAAAGUUGUAUAACGUAGAAUAUGUUUUGUCAUUCAGUUUCUUCAUAUUUAACUAAAUUCCACUAUGAUGAUUUCGUAAUGCUAGUCAUGUUUACUGUCGAAUAAUGAUACUAUUCUUUCAUUUUUACUGUGGAGCGAAUCAUUAGUACUGUAUAUGCGGUGCAUUUUCACUGUAUAAUUUUUUAUUUAUUUUUUUAUCUAUUACAGCUCAUUUCUUUAAGCAUGUAGAGCAAGACUUUAGUUGACUUGCUUGUUUUUCUUUUAUUGGAUAAUCGUUAUGAUAACACCCAAUUUAAUUCAAAUAUUAAAAAUACAGGUUAAACUAUCAUAUGCCUAAUCAUAUUGUUUAAAAAUG